Molecule: transfer-messenger RNA, 350 nt
Filed under: Pseudooceanicola albus
Lineage: Bacteria; Pseudomonadati; Pseudomonadota; Alphaproteobacteria; Rhodobacterales; Paracoccaceae
Also listed under: 1 other name
Description: Alphaproteobacteria transfer-messenger RNA
Rfam family: Alphaproteobacteria transfer-messenger RNA
About the family: Bacterial tmRNA, also known as 10Sa RNA or SsrA, is named for its dual tRNA and mRNA-like properties. Its role is to liberate the mRNA from a stalled ribosome.
Source: Rfam by way of RNAcentral
CCCCUUCAAAUCCCCGCCAACUCCCCCUAUAUCCAAGAUGUUCCCUCGGGAACUAUGGGCAUAAACGCGCAUGUAAUAAGCGGAUCGGACCCGGGGGCGGUACCCGGCGGCUCCACCAAACAUCCCUUGUUGGGGGAUCAUGGGGCCGAAACAGGAUCGACGAACGUGUAAAGAUGUUGCUUUGUCCCGGUGAGAUACCACCGUUAUCGGUUCACAUAGUACAAUUGCCAACAACAAUCGUGCUCCGGUUGCCCUGGCUGCGUAAGCAGUCCGGAAUACCGAAAUCUAAGUCCUUGCGCUUAGCGGCGUAAGGCGGGGUUCGCAGGUACCUGGCAACAGAAACCUGCACU